AUUGAACGCUGGCGGCAGGCCUAACACAUGCGAGUCGAGCGGAUGAAGGGAGCUUGCUCCUGGAUUCAGCGGCGGACGGGUGUGUAAUGCCUAGGAAUCUGCCUGGUAGUGGGGGAUAACGUCCGGAAACGGGCGCUAAUACCGCAUACGUCCUGAGGGAGAAAGUGGGGGAUCUUCGGACCUCACGCUAUCAGAUGAGCCUAGGUCGGAUUAGCUAGUUGGUGGGGUAAAGGCCUACCAAGGCGACGAUCCGUAACUGGUCUGAGAGGAUGAUCAGUCAGACUGGAAGUGAGACACGGUCCAGACUCCUACGGGAGGCAGCAGUGUGGAUUAUUGGACAACGGGCGAAAGCCUGAUCCAGCCAUGCCGCUUGUUUGAAGAAGGUCUUCGGAUUGUAAAACAAUUUAAGUUGGGAGGAAGGGCAGUAAGUUAAUACCUUGCUGUUUUGACGUUACCAUCAGAAUAAGCACCGGCUAACUUCGUG
This 484-nucleotide ribosomal RNA is filed under the name uncultured bacterium. Its description in RNAcentral is "partial 16S ribosomal RNA". It matches the Rfam family "Bacterial small subunit ribosomal RNA", at positions 30 to 507 of the family's 1533-position model. The record is from RNAcentral.